This 29-nucleotide transfer RNA is filed under the name Anolis unilobatus. Its description in RNAcentral is "partial tRNA-Tyr". The record is from RNAcentral. Lineage: Eukaryota; Metazoa; Chordata; Lepidosauria; Squamata; Anolidae.
ACAGCCGCCGCCUAACAUUCGGCCACUCU